Molecule: ribosomal RNA, 253 nt
Filed under: uncultured bacterium
Lineage: Bacteria
Description: partial 16S ribosomal RNA
Rfam family: Bacterial small subunit ribosomal RNA
Source: RNAcentral
UACAGAGGUCUCAAGCGUUGUUCGGAUUCAUUGGGCGUAAAGGGUGCGUAGGCGGCGCGGUAAGUCGGGUGUGAAAUCUCGGAGCUUAACUCCGAAACUGCAUUCGAUACUGCCGUGCUUGAGGACUGGAGAGGAGACUGGAAUUUACGGUGUAGCGGUGAAAUGCGUAGAUAUCGUAAGGAAGACCAGUGGCGAAGGAGGGUCUCUGGACAGUUCCUGACGCUGAGGCACGAAGGCCAGGGGAGCAAACGGG